Molecule: ribosomal RNA, 163 nt
Filed under: Gyrinops caudata
Lineage: Eukaryota; Viridiplantae; Streptophyta; Magnoliopsida; Malvales; Thymelaeaceae
Description: 5.8S ribosomal RNA
Rfam family: 5.8S ribosomal RNA
About the family: 5.8S ribosomal RNA (5.8S rRNA) is a component of the large subunit of the eukaryotic ribosome.
Source: RNAcentral
AAAUGACUCCCGGCAACGGAUAUCUCGGCUCUCGCAUCGAUGAAGAACGUAGCGAAAUGCGAUACUUGGUGUGAAUUGCAGAAUCCCGUGAACCAUCGAGUCUUUGAACGCAAGUUGCGCCCCAAGCCUUCGGGCCGAGGGCACGUCUGCCUGGGUGUCACGC